RNAcentral lists this small RNA (127 nucleotides) under Marmota monax (woodchuck). Lineage: Eukaryota; Metazoa; Chordata; Mammalia; Rodentia; Sciuridae. The record is from RNAcentral.
GCUGGGUGCAGGGGUGCACGCCUGUAAUCCCAGUGGCUUGGGAGGCUGAGGCAGGAGGAUCGCAAGUUCAAAGCCAGCCUCAGCAGCUCAGUGAAGCCCUAAGUAACUCAGUGAGACCCUGUCUCUA